Molecule: unclassified non-coding RNA, 21 nt
Filed under: Chlamydomonas reinhardtii
Lineage: Eukaryota; Viridiplantae; Chlorophyta; Chlorophyceae; Chlamydomonadales; Chlamydomonadaceae
Description: small RNA Cre_4073
Source: RNAcentral
UUGUGUGGGUGGUGUCAUGGC